GAUGAACGCUGGCGGCGUGCCUAAUACAUGCAAGUCGAGCGAACGGACGAGAAGCUUGCUUCUCUGAUGUUAGCGGCGGACGGGUGAGUAACACGUGGAUAACCUACCUAUAAGACUGGGAUAACUUCGGGAAACCGGAGCUAAUACCGGAUAAUAUUUUGAACCGCAUGGUUCAAAAGUGAAAGACGGUCUUGCUGUCACUUAUAGAUGGAUCCGCGCUGCAUUAGCUAGUUGGUAAGGUAACGGCUUACCAAGGCAACGAUGCAUAGCCGACCUGAGAGGGUGAUCGGCCACACUGGAACUGAGACACGGUCCAGACUCCUACGGGAGGCAGCAGUAGGGAAUCUUCCGCAAUGGGCGAAAGCCUGACGGAGCAACGUCGCGUGAGUGAUGAAGGUCUUCGGAUCGUAAAACUCUGUUAUUAGGGAAGAACAUAUGUGUAAGUAACUGUGCACAUCUUGACGGUACCUAAUCAGAAAGCCACGGCUAACUACGUG
Molecule: ribosomal RNA, 497 nt
Filed under: uncultured bacterium
Lineage: Bacteria
Description: partial 16S ribosomal RNA
Rfam family: Bacterial small subunit ribosomal RNA
Source: RNAcentral